AACCGUAUAGGGGAGCCGUAGGGAAACCGAGUCUUAACCGGGCGUUAAGUUGCAGGGUAUAGACCCGAAACCCGGUGAUCUAGCCAUGGGCAGGUUGAAGGUUGGGUAACACUAACUGGAGGACCGAACCGACUAAUGUUGAAAAAUUAGCGGAUGACCUGUGGCUGGGGGUGAAAGGCCAAUCAAACCGGGAGAUAGCUGGUUCUCCCCGAAAGCUAUUUAGGUAGCGCCUCGUGAAUUCAUCUCCGGGGGUAGAGCACUGUUUCGGCUAGGGGGCCAUCCCGGCUUACCAACCCGAUGCAAACUGCGAAUACCGGAGAAUGUUAUCACGGGAGACACACGGCGGGUGCUAACGUCCGUCGUGAAGAGGGAAACAACCCAGACCGCCAGCUAAGGUCCCAAAGUCAUGGUUAAGUGGGAAACGAUGUGGGAAGGCCCAGACAGCCAGGAUGUUGGCUUAGAAGCAGCCAUCAUUUAAAGAAAGCGUAAUAGCUCACUGGUCGAGUCGGCCUGCGCGGAAGAUGUAACGGGGCUAAACCAUGCACCGAAGCUGCGGCAGCGAACGUAUCACCCAAGACAACUUUACGGAGUUGACGAUUGACGGAGCGAAGCGACGUCAAAGCGUUCAUUAAAGUCGAGUUGGCUUAGGGAUACGUUCGUUGGGUAGGGGAGCGUUCUGUAAGCCUGUGAAGGUGUGUCGUGAGGCAUGCUGGAGGUAUCAGAAGUGCGAAUGCUGACAUAAGUAACGAUAAAGCGGGUGAAAAGCCCGCUCGCCGGAAGACCAAGGGUUCCUGUCCAACGUUAAUCGGGGCAGGGUGAGUCGACCCCUAAGGCGAGGCCGAAAGGCGUAGUCGAUGGGAAACGGGUUAAUAUUCCCGUACUUGGUGUUACUGCGAAGGGGGGACGGAGAAGGCUAUGUUGGCCGGGCGACGGUUGUCCCGGUUUAAGCGUGUAGGUGUGUGUUCCAGGUAAAUCCGGUUCACUUUAACACUGAGGCGUGACGACGAGGCACUACGGUGCUGAAGCAACAAAUGCCCUGCU
Molecule: ribosomal RNA, 1041 nt
Filed under: Salmonella enterica
Lineage: Bacteria; Pseudomonadati; Pseudomonadota; Gammaproteobacteria; Enterobacterales; Enterobacteriaceae
Description: partial 23S ribosomal RNA
Rfam family: Bacterial large subunit ribosomal RNA
Source: RNAcentral